UACGUAGGGUGCAAGCGUUGUCCGGAAUUAUUGGGCGUAAAGAGCGUGUAGGCGGCCCGGUUAGUCCGCUGUGAAAGUCCAGGGCUCAACCCUGGAAUGCCGGUGGAUACUGUCGGGCUAGAGUCCGGAAGGGGCGAGUGGAAUUCCUGGUGUAGCGGUGAAAUGCGCAGAUAUCAGGAGGAACACCAAUGGCGAAGGCAGCUCGCUGGGACGUGACUGACGCUGAGAAGCGAAAGCAUGGGGAGCGAACAGG
RNAcentral lists this ribosomal RNA (253 nucleotides) under uncultured bacterium. RNAcentral's name for it is "partial 16S ribosomal RNA". It matches the Rfam family "Bacterial small subunit ribosomal RNA", at positions 524 to 776 of the family's 1533-position model. The record is from RNAcentral.